RNAcentral lists this long non-coding RNA (251 nucleotides) under Vigna radiata. Its description in RNAcentral is "long non-coding RNA (VRAD_LNC000043)". Lineage: Eukaryota; Viridiplantae; Streptophyta; Magnoliopsida; Fabales; Fabaceae. The record is from RNAcentral.
UAACUUCCCUUACCUCACAAGAAACAACUCCAACUCAAAUAACGCUUCGUCGAUUACUUAAACUGCAUGGAAUACCUAAAUGAACCUACGAAACACUAAAUUAAAAACAGACAGAGUCCUUAAAAUUCUAGAUGAACCAAGAACGAGAAGGAGAGGCAUGAUUACACAUGCAACAAUACCAGAUUAUUCUAAAACAGAUUUGGAACGAAAGGGAAAAAGGAGUCGGAAUUACUUGCUUUAUUACAGAAACU